GCGUGAGUGAAGAAGGCCUUAGGGUUGUAAAACUCUUUCAGUGGGGAAGAUAAUGACGGUACCCACAGAAGAAGCUCCGGCUAACUCCGUGCCAGCAGCCGCGGUAAUACGGAGGGAGCUAGCGUUGUUCGGAAUUACUGGGCAUAAAGCGUACGUAGGCGGAUAAACAAGUUGGGGGUGAAAUCCCGGGGCUUAACUCCGGAAUUGCCUCCAAAACUAUUUAUCUAGAGUCCGGGAGAGGUAAGCGGAAUUCCUAGUGUAGAGGUGAAAUUCGU
Molecule: ribosomal RNA, 275 nt
Filed under: uncultured bacterium
Lineage: Bacteria
Description: partial 16S ribosomal RNA
Rfam family: Bacterial small subunit ribosomal RNA
Source: RNAcentral